Molecule: ribosomal RNA, 319 nt
Filed under: uncultured bacterium
Lineage: Bacteria
Description: bacterial SSU rRNA
Rfam family: Bacterial small subunit ribosomal RNA
Source: RNAcentral
GACGAACGCUGGCGGCGUGCUUAACACAUGCAAGUCGAGCGGUAAGGCCCUUUCGGGGGUACACGAGCGGCGAACGGGUGAGUAACACGUGGGUGACCUGCCCUCAGCUCUGGGAUAAGCCUGGGAAACCGGGUCUAAUACUGGAUAUGACUCCAUGACGCAUGUUGUGGGGUGGAAAGCCUUGUGCGGCUGAGGAUGGGCCCGCGGCCUAUCAGCUUGUUGGUGGGGGAUGGCCUACCAAGGCGACGACGGGUAGCCGGCCUGAGAGGGCGACCGGCCACACUGGGACUGAGACACGGCCCAGACUCCUACGGGGGGC